This 461-nucleotide ribosomal RNA is filed under the name uncultured bacterium. RNAcentral's name for it is "partial 16S ribosomal RNA". It matches the Rfam family "Bacterial small subunit ribosomal RNA", at positions 43 to 523 of the family's 1533-position model. The record is from RNAcentral.
CAUGCCUAACACAUGCAAGUCGAACGGUAAGGCUUCCUUCGGGAAGUACACGAGUGGCGAACGGGUGAGUAACACGUGGGUAACCUACCCUUGACUGGGGGACAACCGAGGGAAACUUCGGCUAAUACCGCAUAACGUGCAUUGCCUCAAGGUGGUGUACCAAAGCUCCGGCGGUUAAGGAUGGGCCCGCGGCAGAUUAGCUUGUUGGUGAGGUAACGGCUUACCAAGGCGACGAUCUGUAGCCGACCUGAGAGGGUGACCAGCCACAUUGGGACUGAGACACGGCCCAAACUCCUACGGGAGGCAGCAGUGGGGAAUAUUGGACAAUGGGGGCAACCCUGAUCCAGCAAUGCCGCGUGAGUGAUGAAGGCCUUCGGGUUGUAAAGCUCUUUUGGCAGGGACGAUGAUGACGGUACCUGCAGAAUAAGCCCCGGCUAACUUCGUGCCAGCAGCCGCCGUAA